This 309-nucleotide ribosomal RNA is filed under the name Triticum aestivum (bread wheat). RNAcentral's name for it is "partial small subunit ribosomal RNA". Lineage: Eukaryota; Viridiplantae; Streptophyta; Magnoliopsida; Poales; Poaceae. The record is from RNAcentral.
AUGCUGCUGUUGUUGUGCUCCUCUACUCCUCCCCUGGUUAAUGCUGCUGCUCUUGUGCUCCUCCACUCCUCCCCUGAUUCACAGCAAGCACCAUGUCCUCCCAGCCAGAGAUAUCCCAAGUUGUUCGAUCAGCUCAAGCUGCAGAAGAAGCUGAUGAGCACUAUGACCCAUUCAAAGAUCCUAAGAGGAGGCCAACAAAGAGCAAGGAUCCAGCAUGGAAAUAUGCAUUCUGGCCAGAUCUUAACAAGAGAUUGUUGCUGCAAUGUAAUUUGUGCGGCAAGCAAAUUACCUCUGGACCUUGUAGGAUGA